Brassica napus (rape) is the source of this 4807-nucleotide long non-coding RNA. RefSeq lists it as uncharacterized. The record is from RefSeq and is a predicted model, not a curated record. Lineage: Eukaryota; Viridiplantae; Streptophyta; Magnoliopsida; Brassicales; Brassicaceae. The transcript has 2 exons.
AAUAAAUAAUUAAAAACUGAAAAAUUCAUAUCGCGCUAGGGUCUGGUAUAUAAUUACUAUCUUUGCAUCUCUUCAAAGUUCGAAACGUUGAAUCUUUUGUUCUUGUUGUUUAGAUAGGGGGUGAAGUCACAGCUGCUAAAGGGUUUAACGCUGCUGGUAUUUGUGCUGGGUUACGAGCUUCGGGGAAGAAGUCAGAUCUCGCUCUUGUAACCUGUGAUGUCAAUGUUGUCGCUGCAGGUUCAAUGCUGGGUUACGAGCUUCAGGGGUGUUGUUGUGAUUUCUCUCUUUUGCAGGUUUGUUAAUACCUUAACUUUGAUAACGGCUUGUUACGGUCUGGUCCACGUUCAUCUUCAUUUUCAGCUUUAGUACUGUUGACAUGAAACUUCUUCUUUCCCUUUUGAUUAUCACUUUGCUUCUUCUUCUUACCUUAGUAGCUUCUUUGCUUGUUCUGUUGUUUGUUGGAAGAGGACUCAUCAGCACACUUUCAUAGCUCCUUGGCAUGUUUAACUUCUCUGUUUUACUUGCACUUUGAACUGAUAUCACAAUGCUUCCUGACUCUUUUGCGUCCAGUGUAAGAACCUUUGCUGAUGUUGCAAUGUUGUUCCCUUCUUUCUUAGUUUUCGUUUCUGCUAAGUAGUUAAAAGUCUCUCUGCCUUUGCUCUGUUCUUGGCUAAAGUUUGUCUUUUUGCCUUGUUCUUGUUUCCAUCUCUAUGCUCUAUGUUACAAUUUUAAGUCUUUACUUGGCUAUAGUUUACUUUAUGUAUUUACUCAGUUUCUUGUCUGUUUUGGUCAUGAAGAACACUUGACUAAAGUUUUUGUCUUUGCUAUGUUCUUGUUGUGUUUUGACUUUCAGUUUUGGACCUAUCAACCAAGACCUCAACAACUUAAAAGGGUGACUUAAGUAUGUCUUCAAGACCACGAGAAUAUGAAAAUCUUGAUUAUGACAGUAAUGCUAGCAGAGUGAUGCUUCGAGAGCAUACCCUUCGAGACAAAUACCAUCCAAAUGGGUUCUUCGCUUAGCAUUUGACUUAUGGGUUUUGAUACUUGGAACUGCUUCUGGUGAAAUCAAGUGCAGACAACUUUUUCCAUUUCUCUAAAGUUAGUAGAUCGAUGGGUUACCCAGACAAGAUAUUAAAACUUGGCAAGAGUAGUUAUGUUGGUAGUAUAAGACUUGAGUGUAAGACUUGAAAAGAUUCUAUGUAAAAUAUAUGUUUUUAUAAAUUUAUUGAAUAUAAUUUAAGCUCAGUUCAUGGACUUGGAUCAAACCAAGGUUAAAAGUGAUGAACUUUUGUUUAAGGCAAGUGUAAAAUGAAAAAGUAAACGAAAUGUUAAAACCAAAUAUAAUUUUGUAAACCAAUAUUAGAACCGGUUAUGAUUUUGUAAGCACAUUCAGAUUUAUUAAAAUAUAUUUUGUUUAUUUGUAUGUUGUGAUUUUUAUUUUUUUAAACUAAACCCUAAACAUGUUUAAAAAGGGUAUUAUAUUUAGGGAGUAGUUUUAAGAUAUAGGUUUUAAACCCUAAACAUAAGCUUUAAACUUCAAUCUUUUCAUAAUAUAACUUCAAAUUUAAAACCUAUAUCUUAAAACUAUACCCUAAAUAUAAUACCCUAAACCCCAAAUUAAAACCCUACAUUCAAAGUCAUAAAUCUAAUCACUACAAAAAAUAUAAUUACUAAACUAGAACCUAUUCCUUAUAUAAACAAUAACUUUUUAAAUUUUAUUUUCAUAUAUUUAUCUUUACCACAAUUCUAUUUCACAAACCUCAAACCAUAUACUUUAAACUUAACUACAACUAUAUAAACUAAUAAUCAACAAUAGUGAUAUUAAUUAACAGAUUUUUAAAAUUAAUCUGUAAAUUUUGAUUAUAAAAACUUAAUUUUAUAUCAAACAUAAAUUUUUCAAAAUUACAAACCAAAAUUACAAAACAAAAUUUCCAAAAUUAAUCUGUAAAAUGUUGCUUCUUUAAUCUACAUCCUAAAUAUAUAUAUACCCUAAACCCCAAACUUAACCCCCAUACACAAAAUCAUAAAUCUAAUCUUUUCAAACUUAUAAAAUUUUAAACUUAAACUCCAAGUCUAUUUUAAAAUAAAACCAUAUACAUAACUCUAAAUCUAAACCCAAAACACUAUAUUCCAAACUCUAAACUCACUAAUCAUUUUGUUAAUCUUAUAUCAUUAAUUUUACUUAACUUAAAAUUGCUUAUAAAAAUGAAAUAUAAUCAUUUUGUUAAUUUUUAUAUCAUUAUUUAUUAUAAUUGUAAAUGUAUAACUUAAUUUCUAUAUAAUUAUUUAAAGUUAGACAUAAAUAAUUAUAGAUAAACAAAAAGAUAAUUUUGAUUAGCUUUUUUUGGGCCUUUGAUUGAUUUUGAUCCAAAAGCUCAAAAUCAUUCUCUUGCGAUCUAUGUCCUUCUUUCUGAUUGGUUGAAAUAGAAGAAGUAUGGAUUGUAAAUCUUAGCCAUGGAUUAGAUUAAAUCAAUGGACAAGAUCGACUCUUAUUGUGUUUCUUCUCUUACAUCCUACGCAGUUUUUUUGGCUUCUUCUUCUCCAUCCGUUUGUUCUCUCUCUUACACAAUGAAACCAACAAACAGAUUCAAACCCUAAACUCAUAAUCCGUAGAUUAGAUUAAACCAGACGUUGUUACCAUCUGGAUCUCGUCCUCAUCUGAAGUCUGAAGGUUACCAGCCGUGGAGGCGACGGCGUUACCAGCUGGGUUUGUCAUGUUCUCAUAGAAAGUCCUUGUCUUUGACUGGAUGCCAGGAGAUAUCUUGCCGGAGUCGGAACGAGCCGGAGUUAAGGAGGGAGCGGAGUUGGAGCUGUGUCAGAUUCUGUAGGCGGAGGAAGACGAUGAGACGAUGAUACGGGAAGGAGAUUGUAACAGCCCGAUCCCCCGGCGUCCGACCGGGGUUAUCGAAGAGGCGUUAUGGACACGUGUCUACUCAUUUAGCCAACCCUACGUGUCCCGUUACUGGUCCCGAGAGACGAGCGCAUAACCUUCUUUGAAAUACCGUCACACCCACAUCCAUAUACUUCUACUUACAGUCCUGCGCACAGGGAAAAAUGGAAAUGGAGGGGUGAGUAACAAGUUACUCAGUGAAGUGGUUCUAGCCCAGCCUGCCCGCUUGACACUCUAUACUACUCUAUGCGGGAACUAGGACUGACUAGCCACUACAAUCAGUUAAUGCAUUUUAUCAUUUCCUAACGUCAUCUAUUGAUUUUCCACAUUCACUUCCAUUCAUUUCUAACAACCUAGUGAUCAAUCAAUACAAUGAUCUCACUCAUUUCCACACACGUCAAACCCUAGGCUUAACCGACUCAUCAUACCAGUCCGACUCGAUCCUAUGACACCUUUAACUCCCUGUUACCCGACCAUGAGCUAAAAACCCUACAAUGCACAUCCUUUUCAUCUUUUCGUCCUUUUCAACAGUGGGUAGCCCCAACUAGGCUUCUACCCCAUAUUCUUGUGGAUUGGCCACAUCUCCUAUGGGUGCUUCCAUAUUCUUGUGGAUUGGCCACAUCUCCUAUGGAUACCUAGCGUGGACUACUACCCCACAUACUUUCCUUAGACCCUCUAUAUGCUUUCCCACCCAUGUUUAACCUUAACAUCAUUCUCUCAUACUUUUACUUAUCCUUUCACUUCCUUAUCAUUUUCACUUAUCCCUUCCCAUUCUCAUUUACCUUCCUUUUUCAUUCAUACUUGUACUUGGGACUCAAUUCACUAGACGCCACCCGCUAUCGGUGUCACACACAAUACACAUCGCAUUCAAGUUCUACUUCAAUAACUUUUAUAAUCAUUACUCGUCUAUCGUACUAGCAUUUAUUUCUCUCUAGCAUCCUAACUUCAAUCACAACAACACAUGGGACAACACAUCCAAACAUACUAGAAUCAACUACCAAUCAAUCAUCACCACAACAAUUCAAUUCAGUUCAUCGAGUCCCAUUUAUCAGUAUGAGGGUUCUUAUGCAUCAUGAUCCAUUCAUCUAUCAUCCUAGCAAUACCAUGUCCUAUCAACCUAACUCCCAAUCAGGGUCUAAUCAAACCUAACUCCAACAUAUAGGAGUAUACAGAAUCAUGAAAGAAGGUUGGGUUCGAGACACUCCACCUUAGUCUAGAUCUGGAUCUGGAUCUGUAAACACGGAUUUAAGAAGGUUGAGAUCUGGUCACCAACACCACUUCACGGCGCCGGCGAGAGGGAGAGAGAAAGAGAGCGUGCGACGGCGAGGAGAGAGAGAGGGUGUCAGUGAGGAGAGAGAGAGAGAGCGAUGCGCGGGAGAGAGAGAAGAGAGAGAGGCGGCGCAGGAUAGAAGGGGAGAGAGCUCGACGGCUAGGGUUUUCGGCCUCCGGGAAUUCUCUGCAGAGCUUCGCUUCAGAUUUGUGAUGAGGCAAAAAGGGAGGCUGCAUCUCUUUUUAUAGGAAAGGGGAAGGGAAACCCUAGGUUUUUGCCAAAUGGGCCGUAGAGAAGCCCAUAUUCUUUGGGAAAUUUUACGGGCCAGGAACCGGGCCGUUACAAUGAUGGAAGAGGACAGCAUAUAGCUGACAGCGUGUUUGAAGCGUCAAUGAUGGAGGAUCCGGUAAUGGUGGCGGCUGGAGUAAGCAAACAGAGGAGGCAGAGGUGGAGCUCUAGGGCAAGAGGCGGGGAGACGGAGUGUUGGUUCUAGGUUUAAUGUAGUUUUGGUUUUUUUUUUUUUGGUUUACAAUUAAACCAAUUUUGGUUUAAUGUUGUUUUGGUUUAAUGUGUGAACUGAUUUUAUCUGUAAACAGAUUAUAAUAUAAUGAAAUUUAUUUUUUUAUUUAUAUAAUUGAAAAUUAAUA